This 253-nucleotide ribosomal RNA is filed under the name uncultured bacterium. Its description in RNAcentral is "partial 16S ribosomal RNA". It matches the Rfam family "Bacterial small subunit ribosomal RNA", at positions 524 to 776 of the family's 1533-position model. The record is from RNAcentral.
UACAGAGGUGUCAAGCGUUGUUCGGAUUCAUUGGGCGUAAAGGGUGCGUAGGUGGCGUGGUAAGUCGGGUGUGAAAUUUCGGAGCUUAACUCCGAAACUGCAUUCGAUACUGCCGUGCUUGAGGACUGGAGAGGAGACUGGAAUUUACGGUGUAGCAGUGAAAUGCGUAGAGAUCGUAAGGAAGACCAGUGGCGAAGGCGGGUCUCUGGACAGUUCCUGACACUGAGGCACGAAGGCCAGGGGAGCAAACGGG